Molecule: ribosomal RNA, 442 nt
Filed under: Herbinix luporum
Lineage: Bacteria; Bacillati; Bacillota; Clostridia; Lachnospirales; Lachnospiraceae
Description: bacterial SSU rRNA
Rfam family: Bacterial small subunit ribosomal RNA
Source: RNAcentral
UCCUACGGGAGGCAGCAGUGGGGAAUAUUGCACAAUGGGGGAAACCCUGAUGCAGCGACGCCGCGUGAGUGAAGAAGUAUUUCGGUAUGUAAAGCUCUAUCAGCAGGGAAGAUAAUGACGGUACCUGACUAAGAAGCCCCGGCUAACUACGUGCCAGCAGCCGCGGUAAUACGUAGGGGGCAAGCGUUAUCCGGAUUUACUGGGUGUAAAGGGAGCGUAGGUGGCAAGGCAAGUCAGAUGUGAAAACCCGGGGCUCAACCCCGGGACUGCAUUUGAAACUGUCUAGCUAGAGUGCAGGAGAGGUAAGUGGAAUUCCUAGUGUAGCGGUGAAAUGCAUAGAUAUUAGGAGGAACACCAGUGGCGAAGGCGGCUUACUGGACUGUAACUGACACUGAGGCUCGAAAGCGUGGGGAGCAAACAGGAUUAGAUACCCUGGUAGUCC